GACGAACGCUGGCGGCGUGCCUAAUACAUGCAAGUCGAACGCUUUUUCUUUCACCGGAGCUUGCUCCACCGAAAGAAAAAGAGUGGCGAACGGGUGAGUAACACGUGGGUAACCUGCCCAUCAGAAGGGGAUAACACUUGGAAACAGGUGCUAAUACCGUAUAACACUAUUUUCCGCAUGGAAGAAAGUCGAAAGGCGCUUUUGCGUCACUGAUGGAUGGACCAGCGGUGCAUUAGCUAGUUGGUGAGGUAACGGCUCACCAAGGCAACGAUGCAUAGCCGACCUGAGAGGGUGAUCGGCCACACUGGGACUGAGACACGGCCCAGACUCCUACGGGAGGUAGCAGUAGGGAAUCUUCGGCAAUGGACGAAAGUCUGACCGAGCAACGCCGCGUGAGUGAAGAAGGUUUUCGGAUCGUAAAACUCUGUUGUUAGAGAAGAACAAGGAUGAGAGUAAAACGUUCAUCCCUUGACGGUAUCUAACCAGAAAGCCACGGCUAACUACGUGCCAGCAGCCGCCGUAA
RNAcentral lists this ribosomal RNA (523 nucleotides) under uncultured bacterium. Its description in RNAcentral is "partial 16S ribosomal RNA". It matches the Rfam family "Bacterial small subunit ribosomal RNA", at positions 28 to 523 of the family's 1533-position model. The record is from RNAcentral.